RNAcentral lists this ribosomal RNA (205 nucleotides) under uncultured bacterium. RNAcentral's name for it is "partial 16S ribosomal RNA". It matches the Rfam family "Bacterial small subunit ribosomal RNA", at positions 1296 to 1500 of the family's 1533-position model. The record is from RNAcentral.
GAUUGUAGUCUGCAACUCGACUACAUGAAGCUGGAAUCGCUAGUAAUCGCGAAUCAGCAUGUCGCGGUGAAUACGUUCCCGGGCCUUGUACACACCGCCCGUCACACCAUGGGAGUUGGAAGCGCCCGAAGUCGGUGACCUGACCGAAAGGGAGGAGCCGCCGAAGGUGAAGCCAGCGACUGGGGUGAAGUCGUAACAAGGUAGC